GGGCUUGACAUCCCACGAACCUGCCUGAAAGGGUGGGGUGCCCGCAAGGGAGCGUGGAGACAGGUGGUGCAUGGCUGUCGUCAGCUCGUGUCGUGAGAUGUUGGGUUAAGUCCCGCAACGAGCGCAACCCUCACCCCUAGUUGCCACCGGGUAACGCCGAGCACUCAAGGGGAACUGCCAGCGUCAAGCUGGAGGAAGGCGGGGAUGACGUCAAGUCAUCAUGCCCCUUACGCCCUGGGCUACACGCGUGCUACAAUGGCCAGUACAAAGGGACGCGAGACCGCGAGGUGGAGCUAAUCCCAAAAAGCUGGUCUAAGUUCAGAUUGCAGUCUGCAACUCGACUGCAUGAAGGAGGAAUCGCUAGUAAUCGCGCAUCAGCCCGGCGCGGUGAACACGUUCCCGGGCCUUGUACACACCGCCCGUCACACCACGAAAGCUGGCUGUACUCGAAGUCGCUGAG
Molecule: ribosomal RNA, 460 nt
Filed under: uncultured Methylomirabilota bacterium
Lineage: Bacteria; Methylomirabilota (SeqCode)
Description: bacterial SSU rRNA
Rfam family: Bacterial small subunit ribosomal RNA
Source: RNAcentral